CAUCCGUAAUUCAAUUCAGAAUCAUUAUCUUCUUUUCUAAAGCUCUCCUUUUCAAGUUUCCACUGUCUCUCUCUCGCUGUUGUAUUCAGUUAUUUUUAGAGUUGUAAUCAGACGCCAUGGAACGUGCUCGAAGCAAAACGCGCAUAAAAUUUAAUUCUGUAAAACGGGGAUAAAAUUGGUCACGCGAUUGGUUAAAUUUCGAAACUUUUGCCGCGAACCGUCGCCGAAAUCGAAUUUGAUGCUUCUGAUUGGUGUUCUAUACGCGUCAUCAGUGCUUCUUGUAGUAGUUAUCGCAAAUUCGAGUCAAGCUGGAGACGCGGUCGCGGUCGGUGCAUUAUAAGUCCGUAGUGUGUUAAAGAGGUAGGAUGUUUUGUUCGCGUCUUUUAAAUUCGACUUGCCGAGCUAACUUUUUCGCAGAAGUAGUUUUAUAUUUUUCUACGUGAAAGAUUCAAGAUAAACGAGUGAGGAGAUUGAAGAUCAUUUUGAUGCUACGGAAAAAACAAGUCGUCUCCCUCCUAAGGUGUUUUAUCUGUUAACUUUUCAUCUUGGAGGCUCUUAUAGUUAAUUAAUUAAGAGGAACAUCAGAAGAACUCCAGAUGCCAUUAAAUUAUGGACCAUUGGUUGUGUUAGUUAUCAAUUGCUCCGGAAAGUAGUUGUACCUAUGGCCCUAAAAAAAGCAUAAAAAUACCAUUCUUCCAUUGGGAAUGGAGACAGUGUGCUGUUGCUGAAAAAGGGAUUUAUGACAGUGAACUGGUAUGUAACAGUAUCAAUUAAAAGUAGUGGGUGAGGGAGGUCCCAGAAACUUAAAUUUCUUAGACAUUUGAAACUUGCUUCAAUACACAGUGUUUAAACAUUUCAGAAAUGGCAUAUGCAGAACAGCAGAAUUAAUAUGGAACUGAUCUUUUCGUCAAUCUGAAUUUUACUGAUUUACUUGCUUUAAAAAUGGUAAUUAAUUACUUUUUCUUGCCCGUUUCUAUAGAUUGUCCAACGGUAAGAAAGAAUUGCAGUUAAUUAUGGUGCUAACGAAGCAAUCGAUGCUUUUAAUGUCUUCACUUUACAAUAUUAUGCAGUUAGUUUUGGUCAUGGGAGGCAAUUGGAAAUUAAUUUGGGAGCCACUGAAACAACAAGUUGUCUUCAGUGGUAUUCCUCUUAUAUUUGUUUCAUGGCUCAUCAUACUGGUAGACUUUAGAAUUACUUUCUACAGUUAGUUAAGGUGAAAAUACAAGACGUGCUUCAUGCAGUAACUUUCUUGAGGAGAUUGAAGUUCAUUUUGAUGCUACUGAAAAAACAAGUUGUCUCCAUUCUAUGGUGUUUUAUCUCUUAACUUUUCAUCUUGGGGACUCUUGCAGUUAAUUAAUUAAGAUUGUUGCAACAAAUUAGGAGGAACUGGUGGUAUUGAAACAAGCGAUGCUUUUGAUGUUUUCACUUUGCAACAUUAUGCAGUUAGUUUUGGCCAUGAGAACGGGAGGCAAUUGGAAAUUAAUUUGAAAGCCACUGAAACAACAAAUUGUCUGCAGUGGUAUCCCUCCUAUAUUUGGUUUGCUCAUCACACUGGUAGACUUUAGAACGCUACAUUCUACAGUUAGUCAAGAUCGUUCAACAAAUAAGAGGGAGUUGAAAGUUCAAUUUGGUCGUACUAAAACAACCAUUGUCUACAUGGGUGUGGUCUUUGGUGAACUAUAUUCUUGAUUUGCUGUUUUCGUCUUCACUCUACAUUAUUAUGCA
This is a long non-coding RNA of Agrilus planipennis (emerald ash borer), 1725 nucleotides long. RefSeq lists it as uncharacterized. The record is from RefSeq and is a predicted model, not a curated record. The transcript has 5 exons. Lineage: Eukaryota; Metazoa; Arthropoda; Insecta; Coleoptera; Buprestidae.